AGAGUUUGAUCCUGGCUCAGGACGAACGCUGGCGGCGUGCCUAACACAUGCAAGUCGAGCGGGGAGAAGAAUUCGUUUUUCUCUUUAGCGGCGGACGGGUGAGUAACACGUGGGUAACCUGCCUCAAAGUGGGGGAUAGCCUUCCGAAAGGAAGAUUAAUACCGCAUAACAUCAAAGCACUGCAUGGUGCUUUGAUCAAAGGAGCAAUCCGCUUUGAGAUGGACCCGCGGCGCAUUAGCUAGUUGGUGAGGUAACGGCCCACCAAGGCGACGAUGCGUAGCCGACCUGAGAGGGUGAUCGGCCACAUUGGAACUGAGACACGGUCCAGACUCCUACG
This 337-nucleotide ribosomal RNA is filed under the name uncultured bacterium. Its description in RNAcentral is "bacterial SSU rRNA". It matches the Rfam family "Bacterial small subunit ribosomal RNA", at positions 8 to 343 of the family's 1533-position model. The record is from RNAcentral.